GAUGAAGAACGCAGCGAAAUGCGAUACGUAGUGUGAAUUGCAGAAUUCCGUGAACCAUCGAAUCUUUGAACGCACAUUGCGCCCCCCGGUAUUCCGGGGGGCAUGCCUGUCCGAGCGUCAUUACAACCCUCAAGCUCAGCUUGGUAUUGGGCCCCGCCGACCCGGCGGGCCCUAAAGUCAGUGGCGGUGCCGUCCGGCUCCGAGCGUAGUAAUUCUUCUCGCUCUGGAGGUCCGGUCGUGUGCUCGCCAGCAACCCCCAAUUUUUUUCAGGUUGACCUCGGAUCAGGUAGGGAUACCCGCUGAACUUAAGCAUAUCAAUAAGCGGAGGA
Molecule: unclassified non-coding RNA, 329 nt
Filed under: soil metagenome
Description: partial contains 5.8S ribosomal RNA, internal transcribed spacer 2, and large subunit ribosomal RNA
Rfam family: 5.8S ribosomal RNA (bases 1-120)
Source: RNAcentral